Molecule: ribosomal RNA, 468 nt
Filed under: uncultured bacterium
Lineage: Bacteria
Description: partial 16S ribosomal RNA
Rfam family: Bacterial small subunit ribosomal RNA
Source: RNAcentral
GACGAACGCUGGCGGCGUGCUUAACACAUGCAAGUCGAACGGAAAGGCCCUGCUUUUGUGGGGUGCUCGAGUGGCGAACGGGUGAUUAACCCGUGAGUAACCUGCCCUUGACUUUGGGAUAACUUCAGGAAACUGGGGCUAAUACCGGAUAGGAGCUCCUGCUGCAUGGUGGGGGUUGGAAAGUUUCGGCGGUUGGGGAUGGACUCGCGGCUUAUCAGCUUGUUGGUGGGGUAGUGGCUUACCAAGGCUUUGACGGGUAGCCGGCCUGAGAGGGUGACCGGCCACAUUGGGACUGAGAGACGGCCCAGACUCCUACGGGAGGCAGCAGUGGGGAAUAUUGCACAAUGGGCGGAAGCCUGAUGCAGCAACGCCGCGUGCGGGAUGACGGCCUUCGGGUUGUAAACCGCUGUCGCCUGUGACGAAGCGUGAGUGACGGUAAUGGGUAAAGAAGCACCGGCUAACUACGUG